GAUGAAGAACGCAGCGAACUGCGAUAAGUAAUGUGAAUUGCAGAAUUCAGUGAAUCAUCGAGUCUUUGAACGCACAUUGCGCCCCCUGGCAUUCCGGGGGGCAUGCCUGUCCGAGCGUCAUUGCUGCCCUUCAAGCCCGGCUUGUGUGUUGGGUCGUCGUCCCCCCCGGGGGACGGGCCCGAAAGGCAGCGGCGGCACCGCGUCCGGUCCUCGAGCGUAUGGGGCUUUGUCACCCGCUCGAUUAGGGCCGGCCGGGCGCCAGCCGGCGUCUCCAACCUUCUAUUUUCCCAGGUUGACCUCGGAUCAGGUAGGGAUACCCGCUGAACUUAAGCAUAUCAAUAAGCGGAGGA
Molecule: unclassified non-coding RNA, 350 nt
Filed under: soil metagenome
Description: partial contains 5.8S ribosomal RNA, internal transcribed spacer 2, and large subunit ribosomal RNA
Rfam family: 5.8S ribosomal RNA (bases 1-120)
Source: RNAcentral